AUGUCUGAUUAUUAUGUUUGGUAUAAGCAUGGAGAAGAAAUGAAUAUGGAUAUAGGAACGAGUUACACCGAUAGGACGUAUUUUAGUGAGAAUCAUGAAGAAGUGGGUAAUGUUGUAGAAGAUCCAUAUGUGGAUAUGGUGAACGAUGCAUUUAAUUUUAACGUGGGGUAUGAUGAUAACUAUCAUCAUGAUGAUAGUUAGCCCUGUAACGGAGCCGGAUAUCCGGCUUUUUCAGCGUAUCCGGAUCCGUAUCCGGCUCCGUUGGAUCCGUAAUUUUGUUAUCCGUAUCCGUAUCCGUCAAUACCGGAUAUUCGGAUUUCGAAUAUCCGUAAAAAAAAUAGAAUAUCCGUGGAUAUCCGGAUC
RNAcentral lists this small RNA (363 nucleotides) under Arabidopsis thaliana (thale cress). RNAcentral describes it as "ATSL157080". Lineage: Eukaryota; Viridiplantae; Streptophyta; Magnoliopsida; Brassicales; Brassicaceae. The record is from RNAcentral.